AUUGAACGCUGGCGGCAGGCCUAACACAUGCAAGUCGAGCGACGCGGCGGACGGGUGAGUAAUGGCUAGGAAUCUGCCUGGUAGUGGGGGAUAACGUCGGGAAAAGGGCGCUAAUACCGCAUACUAUCAGAUGAGACUAGGUCGGCUUAGCUGGUUGGUGGGGUAUAGGCCUACCAAGGCGACGAUCCGUAAAGGGUCUGAGAGGAGGAUCAGUCAAACUGGAACUGGAACACGGUCCAGACUCCUACGGGAGGCAGCAUGGGGGAAUAUUGGACAAUGGGCGAAAGCCUGAUCCAGCCAGGCCGGGUGGGGGAAGAAGGUUUUCGGAUUGUAAAGCACGUUAAGUUGGGAGGCGUUACCAACAGAAUAAGCACCGGCUAACUUCGUGCCAGCAGCCGCGGUAAUUC
RNAcentral lists this ribosomal RNA (407 nucleotides) under uncultured bacterium. Its description in RNAcentral is "partial 16S ribosomal RNA". It matches the Rfam family "Bacterial small subunit ribosomal RNA", at positions 29 to 526 of the family's 1533-position model. The record is from RNAcentral.